This 486-nucleotide ribosomal RNA is filed under the name uncultured bacterium. RNAcentral's name for it is "bacterial SSU rRNA". It matches the Rfam family "Bacterial small subunit ribosomal RNA", at positions 28 to 502 of the family's 1533-position model. The record is from RNAcentral.
GAUGAACGCUGGCGGCGUGCCUAAUACAUGCAAGUCGAACGGUACUCUUUCGGGAGUACAGUGGCGAACGGGUGAGUAAUACAUAAGGAACCUGCCCUCGGGACCGGGAUAGCUGAUGGAAACGUCAGGUAAUAGCGGAUGUGAGUCAUUAUGGCAUCAUGAUGACUUGAAAGGAUGCAGCAAUGCAUCGCGCGGGGAUGGCCUUAUGGCGCAUUAGCCAGUUGGCGGGGUAACGGCCGACCAAAGCGAUGAUGCGUAGCCGAUCUGAGAGGACGACCGGCCACACUUGGGACUGAGACACGGCCCAGACUCCUACGGGAGGCAGCAGUAGGGAAUUUUCGGCAAUGGGCGAAAGCCUGAUGCAGCAACGCCGCGUGAGCGAUGAAGGCCUUCGGGUCGUAAGCUCUUUCGGCCGGGAAGAAAUCGUAUGGGCUAAUACCCUGUGCGGAGUGACCGGUACCGGCAAUAAGAAGCACCGGACUAACG